CUAUGAUGCUCGUGCACUGAGGGUAGUUGUAGGAGACAAGAAUGGAACUUUAAAUGGACCAGCAAUUCAGUGUUGUUACAGUCUUCUUGACAUACUGCAUAGGCUGUGGACCCCCAUUGAUGGUGAAUUUGAUGAUUACAUUGUUAACCCAAAACCCAGUGGAUAUCAGUCUCUGCACACAGCAGUAAAAGGUCCCGAUUGUGCACCUUUGGAAGUUCAGAUAAGAACACAGAAAAUGCACGAGUAUG
This 248-nucleotide unclassified non-coding RNA is filed under the name Hevea brasiliensis (rubber tree). Lineage: Eukaryota; Viridiplantae; Streptophyta; Magnoliopsida; Malpighiales; Euphorbiaceae. The record is from RNAcentral.